RNAcentral lists this transfer RNA (68 nucleotides) under Marmota monax (woodchuck). RNAcentral describes it as "tRNA.Undet". Lineage: Eukaryota; Metazoa; Chordata; Mammalia; Rodentia; Sciuridae. The record is from RNAcentral.
GGAAUAUAACUCAGUGAUAGAGCACUUGUCUAGCAUGUGCUAGGUCCUGGGUUCAAUCCCCAGUACCA